GCCUCACUUCUGCCGACGAUGCAGGGCAAGUCGCCAAUUACCUCUGGAACACCUUCUUGGGCGGUCAAUCAGGUUCCCGCCCGCUGGGAGAUGCUGUUUUAGACGGUAUAGACUUUGAUAUCGAAACCGGGACAGGCCUGUAUUGGGACGAUCUGGCCAGGGCGCUCUCCCGAUUCAGCUCGCAGAAAAAGGUCUACUUAUCCGCCGCUCCACAAUGCCCAUUCCCUGACGGUCAUCUAAGCACGGCUAUCGGCACUGGCCUUUUCGAUUACGUCUGGAUACAAUUUUACAACAACGGGCAGUGUCAGUACGGGGCUAAUGCUGAUAACCUGAUAGCGAGAUGGAAUCAGUGGACUUCAGUUCAGUCCAAUCAGAUCUUCCUAGGCGUACCAGCAUCCGCAGAUGCUGCC
RNAcentral lists this long non-coding RNA (410 nucleotides) under Coffea arabica (coffee). RNAcentral's name for it is "long non-coding RNA (CARA_LNC000856)". The record is from RNAcentral. Lineage: Eukaryota; Viridiplantae; Streptophyta; Magnoliopsida; Gentianales; Rubiaceae.